UUGCUUUAAUUACAAGUUUGCCACUCAAAUGAAUAAAGGUAUAAAUAUGACUUUAUAGCCAAAAUUCAUUUAGGUUUUGUUUUGGAGAAAAUUGGAGAGAACAUGUCUCUCCAUUUCUCUCUAAAGAGGCCGGCCCCUUAGAGGGUGUAUCUAGCCAUACUAACUACUCCAAGGUCACUCAUUUCUUCUCCAAUCUCUCCUUGGUGUGGAGACUUAGAGGUUCUCAAUUUUGGAACUUGGAGAAACCUUUUCUUCCAUCCAAAUCCAUAGAUUUUAGAUGCAAGGAAUGAAGGCCCUCUCUUUGGGUGAUUAGCCUUUGCUUAUGCAAAGAGGAAUCUACAAAGGUAUGAUUUCAACUCACUUUGUUUUUUAGUUGAGUUUUGGUUCACCAAUCUACUAGGCUUUGAAUUUCAUGGGUAAUGUUUUGUUUUUGAGUGCAUGCAAGCAUGAUUCCGCCUUUAAUUGUUAAUUGCAUGCUAUAUGAUGUUGCUCAAAUGAACAUGUUUUCACAAAAUAUUCCUUCAAGUGGUAUCAGAGCCUAGGUCUAGUAGUUGGUGAAUCCUUUUGGGUUUUGUGGUUCAUAGUUUGUGAUUUAAAAGUUGUAAUAUGUUACAAGCUUUAUUCUUGUUUCUUUGAAUGUAAAUUUUGUUAGAAAAUUUGUCAUCUCAAAUGUUGUAGAUGUAGUUCAUAUGAGCAUGAAUAUUGGAGCUAAAAUUUGGUGCCAUGAUUUUGGGAAAUUUCGGCCAAAUACAUAGGGUGGAUUUUUGGGUUCUUGUUUGACUUGUUAAAAGUGUUUUCAAGUAACUUUUGGAACCCCUAUGUACCCUAGUUUGGUUAUAUGUUAUUUCCCUUAAGUUUGAAUGGUUUUGGAAUGUUUUUGGGUGAAAAAAGUUCAUGGAAAUUUUUUGGGUUUUUCAUGAAUGUUCUUCAUUGUUCUUGACAUUUUUGCCAAGAACAAAAAGGUUUGUGUUUUGAUUCAAAGUUUUGGUUUAUUUCAUAAAGUUUAUGUUUUAUGAUUUUCAUAUGUUUAAAUGUUUUAGAUAUUUGUUUAAAUGGUGUAAGAAAUAUUGGUGGGUGUGUAAGGAUUGAUUUCCUUUCACACACACCACUUGCACCACUUGAUUGCUUUAUGUCAAAACUCACAAAUUAACACACACAUCACUCCUUUCCUCUCCCAAAACCGGCCACCCUACAUUAUAGGGUACUUUUGGGGCUUUUAUGCAAUUACAUAAAGUUUUGAUACUUUUGUGUAUUUGCACUUUGGCCCAAAAGUUUACGUUUUUACGUUUAGGUCCAAAAACGCUGAAGGACAAAUUGUUUUGCUCCUUUAAUGAAGUUUUUGCAUUGUUGAAAUUUUGGGUUCUAGUGUAAUUACAUGAAGUAGUGGACUUUUGUGUUCUUACAAAGUGACCCCAAAAGUUUAUGUUUUCGCAAUAUUGCCCAAAAAGUUGUGGUUAUUGCAUGAUGGCCCCAA
This 1474-nucleotide long non-coding RNA is filed under the name Malus domestica (apple). RNAcentral's name for it is "long non-coding RNA (MDOM_LNC018316)". The record is from RNAcentral. Lineage: Eukaryota; Viridiplantae; Streptophyta; Magnoliopsida; Rosales; Rosaceae.